This 70-nucleotide transfer RNA is filed under the name Onthophagus pullus. RNAcentral's name for it is "tRNA-Asp". The record is from RNAcentral. Lineage: Eukaryota; Metazoa; Arthropoda; Insecta; Coleoptera; Scarabaeidae.
AAAAAUUUAGUUAAUUUAAUAACAUUAGUUUGUCAAACUAAAAUAAUUUCUCAAAAAGAAAUAAUUUUUA